GAUGAACGCUGGCGGCGUGCCUAAUACAUGCAAGUCGAGCGAACAGACGAGGAGCUUGCUCCUCUGACGUUAGCGGCGGACGGGUGAGUAACACGUGGAUAACCUACCUAUAAGACUGGGAUAACUUCGGGAAACCGGAGCUAAUACCGGAUAAUAUAUUGAACCGCAUGGUUCAAUAGUGAAAGACGGUUUUGCUGUCACUUAUAGAUGGAUCCGCGCCGCAUUAGCUAGUUGGUAAGGUAACGGCUUACCAAGGCAACGAUGCGUAGCCGACCUGAGAGGGUGAUCGGCCACACUGGAACUGAGACACGGUCCAGACUCCUACGGGAGGCAGCAGUAGGGAAUCUUCCGAAAUGGGCGAAAGCUUGACGGAGCAACGCAGCGUGAGUGAUGAAGGUCUUCGGAUCGUAAAACUCUGUUAUUAGGGAAGAACAAAUGUGUAAGUAACUAUGCACGUCUUGACGGUACCUAAUCAGAAAGCCACGGCUAACUACGUG
Molecule: ribosomal RNA, 497 nt
Filed under: uncultured bacterium
Lineage: Bacteria
Description: partial 16S ribosomal RNA
Rfam family: Bacterial small subunit ribosomal RNA
Source: RNAcentral